RNAcentral lists this ribosomal RNA (432 nucleotides) under uncultured bacterium. RNAcentral's name for it is "partial 16S ribosomal RNA". It matches the Rfam family "Bacterial small subunit ribosomal RNA", at positions 30 to 507 of the family's 1533-position model. The record is from RNAcentral.
CGAACGCUGGCGGCAGGCCUAACACAUGCAAGUCGAACGAACCUUUCGGGGUUAGUGGCGGACGGGUGAGUAACACGUGGGAACGUGCCUUUAGGUUCGGAAUAACUCAGGGAAACUUGUGCUAAUACCGAAUGUGCCCUUCGGGGGAAAGAUUAAUCGCCUUUAGAGCGGCCCGCGUCUGAUUAGCUAGUUGGUUGAGGUAAUGGCUCACCAAGGCGACGAUCAGUAGCUGGUCUGAGAGGAUGAUCAGCCACAUUGGGACUGAGACACGGCCCAAACUCCUACGGGAGGCAGCAGUGGGGAAUCUUGCGCAAUGGGCGAAAGCCUGACGCAGCCAUGCCGCGUGAAUGAUGAAGGUCUUAGGAUUGUAAAAUUCUUUCACCGGGGACGAUAAUGACGGUACCCGGAGAAGAAGCCCCGGCUAACUUCGUG